Long non-coding RNA from Drosophila guanche, 1213 nucleotides. RefSeq lists it as uncharacterized. The record is from RefSeq and is a predicted model, not a curated record. The transcript has 2 exons. Lineage: Eukaryota; Metazoa; Arthropoda; Insecta; Diptera; Drosophilidae.
CCUUUCUCUCCCAUACGUACACAAAUGCAAGGCAAUUGCAACAACAACAGCAGUAACCACAUAUAAUUGCUGUUCCAAUAACCUCUAACCCGAAGGCACAAAGCAGACAAACCACACACAACACACAAGAGAUAACAACGAGAAAUACAAAUUGUGACUCGUGCCACAACAAAACGCACACCGAACAAAUAACCAAAUAUAUUAAACUGUCAAACCAAAUAAUAACCCAAGCCGGUCACACCCACACACACACACAAUGGCAGGAAAAUGGACAUGGAGAGACAGAAAGAUGAGAGAAAGAGGCAGAUGUAAAUUUGCACAAGUGAGCGCAAGUGAGACACAGAUACCAGAAAAGGCAAAGGCACAGGAGGAAAACGCAAAUAUUUACAGUAAACAAAAUCAAAGAGAGUGGUACACCCAGAGAAUAAAAGAAACGGAGAGAGAGAGGAGAGGAUCAGCUGAAUAUGAUUGUUGUUGCUGCUCUACCUACGCGACCCGAAAAUUGUUGCUGCUGCCACACAAAUAACCUCAAAUCGUUGCUGUUUUGGUAAUAAACGAAGCGUUAAACAAAUUGCAUUACAACAACUACCACAACAUAGAAAUACUCAUUUUUGGUUUCUUACCGAUUUGUUGUCUACCAUAUGCAAAGCGUCAUAAAUGAGGCUGCAAUAGUAUUGUUGCUGUCGUUGCCUUGGGCGUAAUUACAUCCACAGCCAAAAAUGGUCAAACGAGCGAGAAAAUUAUCACAUUGCAGCCCACUGUGUGUUGUUGUAAUGGAAGCCCCACUAAAAGACUGAAAUUAAAUGCAAAUUUUUGGCCAAUACAAAACAAAAUGUAUACACACACACACGGGCAUACAAAAGGUUUCAUAAUCAGGAAAUUUACAAUUUUUCGGUGUCUUGAGGCGGAGGAAAUUAAAAUUGUUGCUGCCGAAGAUUUGACAUUUGAUAUGCAAUUUGAAUAAUUUUGCCGCACCUGCCUAUCCAGUCGACUCCUCGAAAUUGGCGCACACAUAUGGCAAAACUAGUUCCAACAUCAGAAACUACAGAAAUGCCACGGACAGCGGAGCUUAAUUCAAACACAGACAUAAAUCAAUGAACGCCAAAGUCGAAGGCAGCCCAGAAAAUGGAAAUCAAGGAAGGUGGUAGAAGCACAGAAAUAAUGGAAAAUAAUAAUAGAUAGCUGGGCUGCGAGUGCCAGCACGCCUUGGACG